Molecule: ribosomal RNA, 627 nt
Filed under: Bacillus sp. (in: firmicutes)
Lineage: Bacteria; Bacillati; Bacillota; Bacilli; Caryophanales; Bacillaceae
Description: bacterial SSU rRNA
Rfam family: Bacterial small subunit ribosomal RNA
Source: RNAcentral
AUACAUGCAGUCGAGCGGAUCUUCAUUAGCUUGCUUUUGAAGAUCAGCGGCGGACGGGUGAGUAACACGUGGGCAACCUGCCUGUAAGACUGGGAUAACUUCGGGAAACCGGAGCUAAUACCGGAUAAUCCUUUCCCUCACAUGAGGGAAAGCUGAAAGACGGCUUCUCGCUGUCACUUACAGAUGGGCCCGCGGCGCAUUAGCUAGUUGGUGAGGUAACGGCUCACCAAGGCAACGAUGCGUAGCCGACCUGAGAGGGUGAUCGGCCACACUGGGACUGAGACACGGCCCAGACUCCUACGGGAGGCAGCAGUAGGGAAUCUUCCGCAAUGGACGAAAGUCUGACGGAGCAACGCCGCGUGAACGAUGAAGGCUUUCGGGUCGUAAAGUUCUGUUGUCAGGGAAGAACAAGUACCGGAGUAACUGCCGGUACCUUGACGGUACGUGACCAGAAAGCCACGGCUAACUACGUGCCAGCAGCCGCGGUGAUACGUAUGUGGCAAGCGUUGUCCGGAAUUAUUGGGCGUAAAGCGCGCGCAGGCGGUUCCUUAAGUCUGAUGUGAAAGCCCCCGGCUCACCGGGGAGGGUCAUUGGAAACUGGGGAACUUGAGUGCAGAAGAGGAGAGC